RNAcentral lists this unclassified non-coding RNA (240 nucleotides) under soil metagenome. Its description in RNAcentral is "partial contains 5.8S ribosomal RNA, internal transcribed spacer 2, and large subunit ribosomal RNA". The record is from RNAcentral.
AACGCACGAGACCUGCGGACCUGCGGAAGGAUCAUUAAUGUGAUGGAUGUGCUAGUCUUGACCUCUUAAUCCUCCUUCAAUUUAUUGUUAGGUGGGGGCCUGACGGCUCAAGGGGAAAGGAAAUAAGAACCCGUUCGGGUGUGCACUCCGAUACAAUCCAAUUUUCUCUUAUACCUUGUGCAUCUUUGCCUGCUGAGCAUGAAGGGAAUGUUGAAGCAACAUUCUUGAUUGAUCAUGUAG